RNAcentral lists this ribosomal RNA (429 nucleotides) under Acidobacteriota bacterium. RNAcentral's name for it is "Acidobacteria bacterium partial 16S ribosomal RNA". It matches the Rfam family "Bacterial small subunit ribosomal RNA", at positions 355 to 776 of the family's 1533-position model. Lineage: Bacteria; Pseudomonadati; Acidobacteriota. The record is from RNAcentral.
UGGGGAAUUUUGGACAAUGGGGGAAACCCUGAUCCAGCCAUCCCGCGUGUGCGAUGAAGGCCUUCGGGUUGUAAAGCACUUUUGGCAGGAAAGAAACGUCAUGGGUUAAUACCCCGUGAAACUGACGGUACCUGCAGAAUAAGCACCGGCUAACUACGUGCCAGCAGCCGCGGUAAUACGUAGGGUGCAAGCGUUAAUCGGAAUUACUGGGCGUAAAGCGUGCGCAGGCGGUUCGGAAAGAAAGAUGUGAAAUCCCAGAGCUCAACUUUGGAACUGCAUUUUUAACUACCGGGCUAGAGUGUGUCAGGGGGAGGUGGAAUUCCGAGUGUAGCAGUGAAAUGCGUAGAUAUGCGGAGGAACACCGAUGGCGAAGGCAGCCUCCUGGGAUAACACUGACGCUCAUGCACGAAAGCGUGGGGAGCAAACAGG